GAUGAAGAACGCAGCGAAAUGCGAUAAGUAAUGUGAAUUGCAGAAUUCAGUGAAUCAUCGAAUCUUUGAACGCACAUUGCGCCCGCCAGUAUUCUGGCGGGCAUGCCUGUUCGAGCGUCAUUUCAACCAUCAAGCCCCGGCUUGUGUUGGGGACCUGCGGCUGCCGCAGGCCCUGAAAACCAGUGGCGGGCUCGCUAGUCACUCCGAGCGUAGUAAUACAUCUCGCUCAGGGCGUGCUGCGGGUUCCGGCCGUUAAAAGCCUUAUUUUACCCAAGGUUGACCUCGGAUCAGGUAGGAAGACCCGCUGAACUUAAGCAUAUCAAUAAGCGGAGGA
This 334-nucleotide unclassified non-coding RNA is filed under the name soil metagenome. Its description in RNAcentral is "partial contains 5.8S ribosomal RNA, internal transcribed spacer 2, and large subunit ribosomal RNA". The stretch from base 1 to 120 matches the Rfam family "5.8S ribosomal RNA", at positions 35 to 154 of the family's 154-position model. The record is from RNAcentral.